RNAcentral lists this long non-coding RNA (6488 nucleotides) under Mytilus galloprovincialis (Mediterranean mussel). Lineage: Eukaryota; Metazoa; Mollusca; Bivalvia; Mytilida; Mytilidae. The record is from RNAcentral.
CAAAUACAUAUUGUAAAUAUAAAUAUGCGAUAUGAGAAACAAUUUUGGACCAAUGAGAGAAAAGGUAACGAACGUUUUGACACAUGUGGGCUUUACAAGAAAAUAAAAGAAAUGAACAUAAAGAAAUGACAAGUAAGGUAAACGUUUAUGAGAUAACAAGGCAUUGAUAUGAAACCCCAGAGUAAAAACAUCUUGACCAAGAAAGUCAGUGUUCAGAACAAAGUCAACAGUAGUAUACCGCUGUUCGAAAGACAUUAAUCGAUUGAGACAAAAACAACCCGGGUUACAAAUUAAAUCGAGGGAAACACAUCAACUGAAAGACAGGCCUUAGAAGUAAAUAUCAAAGUUUGAUUAAGUUGUGACUUGAGAAAAAAAUAGUGUUCUUUCUGAUCCGAUAUAUUUGUCUUUGUAAGCAUACACACAUGUUAAAUAAUGCUCUAAUCUAUGCAUUCAACGAUUCAACGAGAAAACGUAGCAUUAAGUGUUCAUUCCGAAACGAGUCAGGUUUUUUUUAGUAUCUUUGAUCUCGAGCUACGAUUUAUACCAACCAUAAACCUAUCUUUUGCUUUAAUUAGUUUUAAACAUUGAUAAAAACGAUAUAUUGAAAUAGUGCUUAAAGUAUUAUAGAUACAAUGAAUACGCGUUGACUGUUGAAAAAGAAACCAUGAGUCUGAAUGGUCAUGGCGAACUUUUGUAUUUAAUGAAUUAACGCUGAUACGUUGCAUCUCUUUCUUAAACUAUUUUGUUAAUGAUUUGUUGAAUUUAAGGAUGUACUCCUCUGAGGAGCGAAAAAAUUCGAGAAUUAAACUUUUUUUCUUGACCUGAUUAUUGGGUUUAUAUGACUCAUCAUUUGGUGGUGCACUUCUUUUUUUGUUACGGCCCUUUGAAAGUACCCAAUUUUGAUGAGUUUCCCAUUUUUCAUCAACUUUUACACAUUUCGGGGCUUUUAUCAUGAAAAAAAAAUCACAGUUCCACAAGUAAACUUUUGUUCAUACUUUCAAUAAAGAUGAAGUGGAACACUCUGAAUAAAUGUAACUUAAAAAAUAAACUAUAGGUAGGUGUUAAUAUAGGAAAGUUUUAUCAUAUUUUAAUGCUUUUUCGGGUCAAAUUUACCAUGCUGAUAUUUUUGUCAAUUUGUGGUCUUUCUCCUUUUUAGGAACAAAUUGCAUAUUUUUUAAACUUCUUUGUUAUAAAUGAUUGAAAAAAAUACAUAUCUAAGGAAAUUUGAAAAGACAAAAUUGAUAUGGGAUGUACACAUUGCUGGUAAAAUUAUUUCUUGUACCUUUCACCCAUUAUCUUCUAAAAAGAAUCACUUGAUUGGCAAUAAAAUUUGAAAAAAUUAUUACUCAAAAACUACAAUUUUUUCACAGGGUUAAGUUUGAUUAUGACAUCUUUAAAAUUCAUUGAUAUUUUCCAUUUGUAUCAUAUGUUUUGGAAAAAAUUCCAGAAUGAUAUUUCAACGAGACUGAACGUCAGAAGAAUACAUCCUUAAAGCCUUUUCUGAAUAAGAAAGUAUUGUAAGUGAGUUUUAAUAACCAUGUCAUCAUGUUCAACAAUGCAUUAGUGAAUACAUGUAUAAGUUCACAAUUGAUUUGUUAGAGAAAUGCAAAUAUUACAUACCACGUUUUCGUUAAAUUAUCAGGCACCAGAAUAUUAUCUUUAAAUUAUAAAAUUAGACAUCUUCAAACUUAUGUUUUUAAAGUACAUGUGCAAGCGGCUGUAUUCUAGUCGCAUCACGAUUUACUCGAAUAGGCAUUUGCGAAUAAACAGUUGUAAAGAUAUGAAGUAAAACAGAUGAAAUCAUACUAUAUUUAUAAAACAAAAAAGGACAAAUUGAAUGUAAAAGUUUUCUUUCAAAUAUGUGAAAUAAUCAUAAUAAACCAGGAAUUAGUAGGUAAACCUAUGGAACGCCACAGCUGUCUUAUGUGGAGCUCUGAUAUUACGAAGUGUUGUUUUGUUAUUAUUUGAUGACAUUUUGUCUUUAAAUAAUAUGGUUUAGUCAUUACGUAUUGAUGUUUUAAUAUAACUCAAUAUGGAAUAGUCAUUAUUUAAUGAUAUUUCGAUAUAACACGAUAUGGUUUCGUAUUGACUUGAUAUAAUUUUGUCAUUACUUGAUAUGGUAUUGUCAUUACUCGAUGUGGUUUCAUCAUUAUUUAAUGUGGUUGUUUAAUUAGUAUGUGACUUAACGUAAUUUAGUUGUUUCAUUACAUGAUGUAGUUGUGCUAUUUCGUAAUGCUUAAACAUAAAUGAUGUUUAAUUCAAAUAUGAUGUAAUGGUAUAGAAAAACCUUGUAGCUGAGUAACUAUUGACAAAAACAUGCUACAUUUGAAAAAAAUGACUGAAAAGAUUUUACCUAUUUCUGCCGUCGCCAUAAUGGAAUCGUCGUAAUUCCAGUUACGGUUAUCAGUUUAGCACCAGUGGUAUUUAAACAUUCCAAAUAAAUAGCAGUUUGAUAAUGAUUAAAAAACAAUAUUAAAAUUUGACUAAGGUUGAAAAGGUGAACGUAACUGCGUACUUUUACAUCCCUCUCAACUGAAUAGAACCCUGGUUUAAUUGAAAAAAUCCUUAAAACUGUAAAAGGUCAGUACAGAACAGAAGUCUGGGUUACUGGAAAGAGUAUACAUAUAUAAAGAGUAAAAUCACAAAAAUACUGAACUCCGAGGAAAAUUCAAAACGGAAAGUCCCUAAUCAAAUGGCAAAAUCAAAUGAUAAAACUCAUCAAACAAAUGGACAAAUUACACAUCUAAAUUGCGAUCUAUUUGUAACCGAGAGGUUUCGUCUAUGUGAGUUAAAGUUUGGUUUUUGAAUAAAUUUCAUUAGUAAACAGAAAAUCUGUAAAUUAGCCAAUUGAAACUUAACUAGUAAGGCAGAAAAAGGAAACAAUUGAAUAUAAUUUGGUGAACUCAUUUUAGAGACAGAUUUAGAAAGCGUUUAUUUUACAAAAAUAAUUAUAGGUUGGACAAUACUUGAUCACGUUUUUAUCAAUAUUUAAAGCGCAAGGCGUAGAAAGGGGUAUGUAAUACACUUCGUUGGUGCAGUUUAGCGUUCACUUUCACAACUAAUCUACAGUGAAAAGUCUUUCAAGUAUAGCAUUUUAUAGUACUAUGAAAAAUAGAAGGCAAAAUACCGAUUUUCCAUUGAAUGAGAAUGAGUAUAUUCUUAUCUGUAAAUGAAUAGACUGACGUCACAGUAAUGGUUUCAUAUUAAUAAUAUGUUUUAGUUCAAUAUUCUCAAAAAAAAGGUUUCAAAAUAAUGCUUAAAUUUUAUAUGCUUGCAAGUCAAAAAUCAAAACUCAUUUUUAUCCGUAUUUAUGCGACUUUUGUUGGAGAUGAAUGGUAUAUGUGUUCAGCAUGUCGAGUGACUGGAACGAAUGUCAGUGAAACUAGGAAAUGCAACCUCAAAGAGAUUGAUUUUGUCAAUGAAAUUGACCUGCAAAAACAUCAAACAUAUACAGGUUACCAGUAAAUGUUUUACAUUUAAUCUAUAUGUUUUCAUGUAUGAAAAUAUUUCAAACAGAACUUGAAAAUUGAUCAUUUAUACAGUUACACUUGCUGACCUGUUAUCUGUAUUUCACAUUUACAUGUCCGCCCAUAUGACGGCUAGAAAGAAAUGCAAUAGUAAUGUUAUAAACUUUAGAUUCCAGACAAUAUGUUUUGUUUUCUAAUGAAUUUGAUGUUAAGUACAUAAUGCCACUUUAAGUUAUUUGUGAAAAUUCAAAAAUUGGCCUAAUACAACUAAAUCAAAAUAUGUUAAAAGGUAAACUAAAUUAUUGGCAUUUUGAAAAUAUAUCAACAAAUCUUGUUUGAAUUUUCUGGUGUAUCAAAUGAGAAUAAAAACAAUUACAGAGUGUGGUGAAUCUAGGAUUUAGAAUUGGGGAAAAAAAGUGGCAGAAAAUGCCAAGAAAAACAAAUCAUAAAUUAAGUGAAGCUGACAACCUCUUGACAAAAAAAAAGAAAGACAACGAAACGAAACGAAAAUAAGUUCACAUAAUACUAAAAAGAAAAUGUAUGCAGCACGAACCCUAUAAAACUAAAUGUGAUCUUAGCUGCUCCGGAAUUGUAAGCAGAUCCACUUCUUCACUUGAAACCCUUCUUCCGUGUAGACAGGAGGCCUUUAUAAAUAAAAUCGUGGUAGCAAAUGUAGAUAAAUAAUCAAAUAUAUAGAUAUGAUCAUAAAUGCAAAACGUGUUUUGUAGACAAAGCCUUUGAUACAGAAGCUGUUAUAUUUAGCUCUAUGUGAGUAUUAUCCAUGUUAUUAAAACAAACAACAUCAGGAAACAUGUGAACAAGUUUCAUAGACACUAUUAAAUCCAUGCUAAACAUAUUUUGUUAUGACAAUGAUUACUAUUUUCUUCAUUAUGUAUUUCAACACAUAUGUUUAGGUGAUCAUAUAUAAGCUUUACGUUUGUGGAAGUAGGAGGUAUGAUAGCUGUUGAAUUAUCAAAGUAAUAACUAAUCCAAGAAUUCAAACAACGACGUCAUAUUCACGAUUCAGGGUCAUUUUCACCGCCUGCGCCUGUAAUUCAUAAACAAACAGCAUAUACAAAGUAUAGGCACAAUAUAAAUCAAACACUCUAGAAGGAUAUCUUUUUCGAUAAUUAAUUUCUUUGAUUCGUAUUUUUUUUUUUAUAAUCUAAAAAUUAGAAGAUAUUGUAUGAUUACAAGUAAGACAACAGAACUAAUGGCGUCGAAGUUUACAACUAUAGGUCUACGUACGGACUUUAACAAUGAGCAUAAUCUUCACCUCAUAUAAAAAAGAAGAUGUGAUAUGAUUGCCAAUGAGACACAAGUCUCAACAAGACACCAAAUGACAUAGAAAUUACCAACUGUAGGUCACCGUACAUCCUUCAACAAUGAGCAAAGUCCAAACCGCAUAGUCAGCUAUAAAAAGCCCCGAAAUGAACUAUGAAAUGCCUAAAAAUGACAUGUGCCCUUACAAUAGUAGAAAAUUUCUUUGAAACCAAUUUUGAAUUGUUUUUAUGCUACAUCAUAUGAAUGAAAUUCACAUGUGAAAUUAUUUGUUUAUAUCUGUUUUGAAAAUCACGGUAUAUAACUGCAACGAAUGCAGUGACGCAUUUUUAUUUUGAGUUCCUCGGGACAGUACAUACAUUGUUUUUGAGUACAUUGAAUGCAACCUUGUCUCCUAUGUGUUUAUACUAUUUUCGUCGUUUUCUAUCGACAAUAGAUAUUGGGCGUUUCAAAGACUGCGAUUCUAUCGUAAAAAUGAAAAUAGUGGUGUUUUCUUUUGUAUGAAUAGUAUGUUUGUAUGCAUUGAUAUUUGCCUUAACGUUGUAUUCUCUGAUUGUUGUUAUACAUUUAAGGUAUCCUGUUACUAUUUCCCGUUUACGUUCUUGUCAGACAACUGUUUGAAAGAUCCACGGUAACAAAUUUACCAGUACCUUUCUACAGGAGAGAAAAGUCACCAACACAUGUUGAUAGAGUAAAUAGGAAAAAGAAAGGGUCGAUAUGUCCUAUUUUACAAGGCGGUCUCGGAAAUAGAUUGUUUCAAUUUUCUACUUCGUUUGCUGCUGCAAGAAAUAAACAAAUGGAGCUUAUCGUACCUCCCGAUGCUGAAAUCCGAACAGUGUUUGCAAUUAAUGUGACAUCCGAUAAACCAAUAAGAUUAUGUAAGGGGUUUCGAAAAGUUUUAGAUAACGCAUCUCCGACAUACAACAAAAAUUUACUAAAUUUUAGUUCUGAAGAUAACAUUCAACUAGGAUAUGGACUUCAGUCGUGGAAAUAUUUUCACAAGUAUGAUACGGAGCUACGGAGGCAAUUAACAUUUCAAAAGCAUAUUCAAAACACUGCAGAACAGACGAUUGGGAAAAUAUUCCAAAAAAGAAAAAUUAAGUCUCGGAAGAGUAUUACUUUGGUAGGUGUUCAUAUAAGGAGAGGUGAUAAGGUAGGAAACCAUGAUGGAUUUAACAUUGCUACACCUGAGUAUUUAAACAGAUCUGUGAAUUAUUACGCUAAAAUGUAUACAAGUGUUUUAUUUUUAGUUAUAUCAGAUGAUAUAGCUUGGUCUAAAACAAAUAUGCCAACUCAUGUUCCUGUAGAUUUUAUAUCCUUAGGCAAGCGAGAAUUUGAUAUGGCAACUGUCGUUGCUUGUGACCAUACAAUCAUGACAAUAGGAACAUUUGGCUGGUGGAUCGGUUACUUGACUGGUGGUGAAGUGGUGUACGUAAAAGAUGCUGCAAAAAAGGGUUCACGAUUUGAACGCAUACUUAAUUUUGAAGACCAUUUCUAUCCACAAUGGGUAGGACUUUAAGCAAUUAAAUUUUGACAAAUUUUGUUUUAAUGUUUUAUUUAUUUUAAGCAAACAUAUUAAACAUGAAUCAUCUUUCACCUUUGACGUCUUAUAAUUAGUCUUGUAGAAAAUUUACUCCAAGAAGAAAAAAGACAUGAACAAAAGUGCAGUAAAAAGUUAUUUUUGCGAAAAUUAUCAGUAACUACAUAAUAAACAUUUGGAAAUAAGCUGUGUCUCCUGUC